RNAcentral lists this ribosomal RNA (414 nucleotides) under uncultured microorganism. RNAcentral describes it as "bacterial SSU rRNA". It matches the Rfam family "Archaeal small subunit ribosomal RNA", at positions 459 to 872 of the family's 1478-position model. The record is from RNAcentral.
CAGCAGCCGCGGUAAUACCGGCGGCCCGAGUGGCGGCCACUAUUAUUGGGCUUAAAGCGUCCGUAGCCGGGUUGGUUAGUCUCCCGGGAAAUCUGGCCGCUUAACGGUCAGAAUUCCGGGAGAUACUGCCAGCCUAGGGACCGGGAGAGGCCGAGGGUAUUCCCGGAGUAGGGGUGAAAUCCUAUAAUCCCGGGAGGACCACCUGUGGCGAAGGCGCUCGGCUGGAACGGGUCCGACGGGGAGGGACGAAGGCCAGGGGAGCAAACCGGAUUAGAUACCCGGGUAGUCCUGGCUGUAAAGGAUGCGGGCUAGGUGUCGGGUGAGCUUCGGGCUCGCCCGGUGCCGUAGGGAAGCCGUUAAGCCCGCCGCCUGGGGAGUACGGCCGCAAGGCUGAAACUUAAAGGAAUUGGCGGG